GACGAACGCUGGCGGCGCGCUUAACACAUGCAAGUCGAACGGAAAGGCCUGCUUUCCCUUGUGGAUUGCGGGUACUCGAGUGGCGAACGGGUGAGUAACACGUGAGUGAUCUGCCCCCAACUUGGGUAUAAGCCUGGGAAACUGGGUCUAAUUCCCGAUAGGACUGCAGGGUGGUGCCUGUGGUGGAAAACGAUUUUCUAGUGGUUGGGGAUGAGCUCGCGGCCUAUCAGCUUGUUGGUGGGGUAAUGGCCUACCAAGGCGGCGACGGGUAGCCGGCCUGAGAGGGUGGACGGCCACAUUGGGACUGAGAUACGACCCAGACUCCUACGGGAGGCAGCAGUGGGGAAUAUUGCACGAUGGGCGGAAGCCUGAUGCAGCGACGCCGCGUGGGGGAUGACGGCCUUCGGGUUGUAAACUCCUUUCGACCGCGAGGAAGCCACCUGGUUGGGAGGGUGGUGACGGUAGUGGUAGAAGAAGCACCGGCUAACUACGUG
Molecule: ribosomal RNA, 494 nt
Filed under: uncultured bacterium
Lineage: Bacteria
Description: partial 16S ribosomal RNA
Rfam family: Bacterial small subunit ribosomal RNA
Source: RNAcentral